AGUGAACGCUGGCGGUAGGCCUAACACAUGCAAGUCGAACGGCAGCACAGUAAGAGCUUGCUCUUACGGGUGGCGAGUGGCGGACGGGUGAGGAAUACAUCGGAAUCUACUUUUUCGUGGGGGAUAACGUAGGGAAACUUACGCUAAUACCGCAUACGACCUACGGGUGAAAUCAGGGGAUCUUCGGACCUUUCGCGAUUGAAUGAGCCGAUGUCGGAUUAGCUAGUUGGCGGGGUAAAGGCCCACCAAGGCGACGAUCCGUAGCUGGUCUGAGAGGAUGAUCAGCCACACUGGAACUGAGACACGGUCCAGACUCCUACGGGAGGCAGCAGUGGGGAAUAUUGGACAAUGGGCGCAAGCCUGAUCCAGCCAUACCGCGUGGGUGAAGAAGGCCUUCGGGUUGUAAAGCCCUUUUGUUGGGAAAGAAAAGCAGCAGGUUAAUCCCCCGCUGUUCUGACGGUACCCAAAGAAUAAGCACCGGCUAACUUCGUG
This 492-nucleotide ribosomal RNA is filed under the name uncultured bacterium. Its description in RNAcentral is "partial 16S ribosomal RNA". It matches the Rfam family "Bacterial small subunit ribosomal RNA", at positions 29 to 507 of the family's 1533-position model. The record is from RNAcentral.